This 1343-nucleotide ribosomal RNA is filed under the name uncultured bacterium. RNAcentral's name for it is "16S ribosomal RNA". It matches the Rfam family "Bacterial small subunit ribosomal RNA", at positions 28 to 1378 of the family's 1533-position model. The record is from RNAcentral.
GACGAACGCUGUUUGCGUGCUUAACACAUGCAAGUCGAACGGAAAGGCCCUGCUUUUGUGGGGUGCUCGAGUGGCGAACGGGUGAGUAACACGUGAGUAACCUGCCCUUGACUUUGGGAUAACUUCAGGAAACUGGGGCUAAUACCGGAUAGGAGCUCCUGCUGCAUGGUGGGGGUUGGAAAGUUUCGGCGGUUGGGGAUGGACUCGCGGCUUAUCAGCUUGUUGGUGGGGUAGUGGCUUACCAAGGCUUUGACGGGUAGCCGGCCUGAGAGGGUGACCGGCCACAUUGGGACUGAGAUACGGCCCGGACUCCUACGGGAGGCAGCAGUGGGGAAUAUUGCACAAUGGGCGGAAGCCUGAUGCAGCAACGCCGCGUGCGGGAUGACGGCCUUCGGGUUGUAAACCGCUUUCGCCUGUGACGAAGCGUGAGUGACGGUAAUGGGUAAAGAAGCACCGGCUAACUACGUGCCAGCAGCCGCGGUGAUACGUAGGGUGCGAGCGUUGUCCGGAUUUAUUGGGCGUAAAGGGCUCGUAGGUGGUUGAUCGCGUCGGAAGUGUAAUCUUGGGGCUUAACCCUGAGCGUGCUUUCGAUACGGGUUGACUUGAGGAAGGUAGGGGAGAAUGGAAUUCCUGGUGGAGCGGUGGAAUGCGCAGAUAUCAGGAGGAACACCAGUGGCGAAGGCGGUUCUCUGGGCCUUUCCUGACGCUGAGGAGCGAAAGCGUGGGGAGCGAACAGGCUUAGAUACCCUGGUAGUCCACGCUGUAAACGGUGGGUACUAGGUGUGGGGUCCAUUCCACGGGUUCCGUGCCGUAGCUAACGCUUUAAGUACCCCGCCUGGGGAGUACGGCCGCAAGGCUAAAACUCAAAGGAAUUGACGGGGCCCCGCACAAGCGGCGGAGCAUGCGGAUUAAUUCGAUGCAACGCGUAGAACCUUACCUGGGUUUGACAUGGAUCGGGAGUGCUCAGAGAUGGGUGUGCCUCUUUUGGGGUCGGUUCACAGGUGGUGCAUGGCUGUCGUCGGCUCGUGUCGUGAGAUGUUGGGUUAAGUCCCGCAACGAGCGCAACCCUUGUUCACUGUUGCCAGCACGUUAUGGUGGGGACUCAGUGGAGACCGCCGGGGUCAACUCGGAGGAAGGUGGGGAUGACGUCAAGUCAUCAUGCCCCUUAUGUCCAGGGCUUCACGCAUGCUACAAUGGCUGGUACAGAGAGUGGCGAGCCUGUGAGGGUGAGCGAAUCUCGGAAAGCCGGUCUCAGUUCGGAUUGGGGUCUGCAACUCGACCUCAUGAAGUCGGAGUCGCUAGUAAUCGCAGAUCAGCAACGCUGCGGUGAAUACGUUCCCGGG